AUAUUUUCCACAGCACAUGUACUAAAGCUGGAUUUAUACAGAGAAGAUUAGCAUGGCCCCUACGCAAGAAUUACAUGCAAAUUCUUGACGUAUUCCAUAUUUUU
Pteropus alecto (black flying fox) is the source of this 104-nucleotide non-coding RNA. The record is from Rfam. Lineage: Eukaryota; Metazoa; Chordata; Mammalia; Chiroptera; Pteropodidae.